Molecule: ribosomal RNA, 1044 nt
Filed under: uncultured Candidatus Rhabdochlamydia sp.
Lineage: Bacteria; Pseudomonadati; Chlamydiota; Chlamydiia; Parachlamydiales; Candidatus Rhabdochlamydiaceae
Description: bacterial SSU rRNA
Rfam family: Bacterial small subunit ribosomal RNA
Source: RNAcentral
GGUAAAGGAUAGGUUCAUGGGAUAUCAGCUAGUUGGUGUGGUAAGAGCGCACCAAGGCUAAGACGUCUAGGCGGAUUGAGAGAUUGACCGCCAACAUUGGGACUGAGACACUGCCCAAACUCCUACGGGAGGCUGCAGUCGAGAAUCUUUCGCAAUGGGCGAAAGCCUGACGAAGCGACGCUGCGUGAGUGAUGAAGGCUUUCGGGUUGUAAAACUCUUUCGCGCAAGAGCAAAGUGAGUUAGUGAACAACUGAUUCAUGUGAGAGUACUGCGUAAAGAAGCACCGGCUAACUCCGUGCCAGCAGCUGCGGUAAUACGGAGGGUGCAAGCAUUAAUCGGAAUUAUUGGGCGUAAAGGGCGCGUAGGCGGGAUUAAAAGUCAGAUGUGAAAUUCCGAAGCUCAACUUCGGAGCCGCAUUUGAAACUGCAAUUCUUGAGGGAUGGCGGAGGAAACGGAAUUCCACGUGUAGCGGUGAAAUGCGUAGAUAUGUGGAGGAACACCUGUGGCGAAAGCGGUUUUCUAGCUUUUACCUGACGCUGAGGCGCGAGAGCAAGGGGAGCAAACAGGAUUAGAUACCCUGGUAGUCCUUGCCGUAAACGAUGUAUACUUGAUGUAGUUAGGCUCAACCCUGGCUGUGUCGAAGCUAACGCGAUAAGUAUACCGCCUGAGGAGUACGCUCGCAAGGGUGAAACUCAAAAGAAUUGACGGGGGCCCGCACAAGCAGUGGAGCAUGUGGUUUAAUUCGAUGCAACGCGAAGAACCUUACCCAGGCUCGAAAUGCAGUGGACAGCAUCAGAGAUGAUGUGUUUCGAAAGAACCGCUGUAUAGGUGCUGCAUGGCUGUCGUCAGCUCGUGCCGUGAGGUGUUGGGUUAAGUCCCGCAACGAGCGCAACCCUUAUCAUUAGUUGCCAACACGUAAAGGUGGGGACUCUAAUGAGACUGCCUAGGUUAACUAGGAGGAAGGUGAGGAUGACGUCAAGUCCGCAUGGCCUUUAUGUCUGGGGCUACACACGUGCUACAAUGGUCGGUACAGAAGGCAGCAAG